Long non-coding RNA from Pseudomyrmex gracilis, 350 nucleotides. RefSeq lists it as uncharacterized. NCBI's taxonomy places the organism in Eukaryota, Metazoa, Arthropoda, Insecta, Hymenoptera, Formicidae. The record is from RefSeq and is a predicted model, not a curated record. The transcript is spliced from 3 exons.
UAAGGUUAGGUCGCACUUUGGGCGUGGGUCAAGGUAGGGAUAGAUUGACCUCAGGAUGACCAUCCUACAAGUAACACAGAAAUUUAUUAAUUCAUCAUAGAGAAGAGUGUCUUUGCAAAUAACUAAGCAAAAAUAAUCGGCGAGGAUCUUAUCGACGACGAAUGAAGAGAAAUUUAAUUUGAAUUAUUAAUUUGUUGCUAUUGCGCGCUAUAUUUAUCUACGAAUAAACGGAGAACUCUCGAUGAUGUCUCGGUUAUGUAUUUAAGAAGGAUUUAAGGAUUUAUCACAAAAGGAGAAAAACUGCAUUCUACGAACAUACAACAGCUUUUAUUUCUAGUUAGAUGUAAUUA